Penaeus chinensis is the source of this 660-nucleotide long non-coding RNA. RefSeq lists it as uncharacterized. The transcript is spliced from 2 exons. The record is from RefSeq and is a predicted model, not a curated record. NCBI's taxonomy places the organism in Eukaryota, Metazoa, Arthropoda, Malacostraca, Decapoda, Penaeidae.
AUGUGUGCAUAUAUAUGUGUAUAUAUAUACAUAUAUAUACAUAUACAUAUACACACACAUAUAUAUAUGUAUAUAUUUAUUUAUUAACUUAUUUAUAUACACACUGACCUGUUGGCUAUUUCUUCCUCGCCGGCGCAGUGACAUCAUUAGCACAAAUACCAAGUACAUUCGAAAUAAUAGAAACCACUUCUGUAGAACAUGUUCUUUCUCUGUAGGAGGAAAAAAUGUAAGGCUUUUGGUACAAGAUCGAUGACUAUUGACUAUCGUGACAGUAUAAUUCUUGCUAUGUCACAGCAGGACAGGAAUCAAGCAAGAGAGAGUCUUGGGAAGAUAAGAGCAUUCUAAGACAGUGAAACACCUGCUGAAAAUUUUAGAGGCUUCACGGCCGCAGUUCCUAUGCCACCUGUGUCAUCCUUAACCAUGCAAUACGCAGUUCUCGAUUUCAUGUCGGAGAACCCUUUUGCUUCAGUCAACACAGCGCUUCCCUUCGGGGGAAAAGGGGAAACCACAGACCAGUGCUCGAUAGGGUUAUGGAAUCGCAUUGCAGUCAAAGGAAGAGUGAUAUGCUGGAUCAAAAACUUUCAUAUACUUUAUCUACUAUUUUUCAUCAUUAAAUACUAUUUUUGCACUAUUUUAUAACUAAUAAAAGUAAUAUUUUUU